This 385-nucleotide ribosomal RNA is filed under the name uncultured Anaerolineaceae bacterium. RNAcentral's name for it is "bacterial SSU rRNA". It matches the Rfam family "Bacterial small subunit ribosomal RNA", at positions 984 to 1382 of the family's 1533-position model. Lineage: Bacteria; Bacillati; Chloroflexota; Anaerolineae; Anaerolineales; Anaerolineaceae. The record is from RNAcentral.
ACAUACAAGUAGUAGGGAAAGGAAACUGGACCGACCUCCGGGAGCUUGAACAGGUGCUGCAUGGCUGUCGUCAGCUCGUGUCGUGAGAUGUUCGGUUAAGUCCGCUAACGAGCGCAACCCUCGCUGUGUGUUACAAGUGUCACACGGAACUGCCGGUCAUAAACCGGAGGAAGGUGGGGAUGACGUCAAGUCAGCAUGGCCUUUAUAUCCUGGGCUACACACACGCUACAAUGGGAAGGGACAAUAGGUUGCGAAACCGCGAGGUGGAGCCAAUCCAGCAAAACUUCCCUCAGUUCAGAUUGCAGGCAGCAACUCGCCUGCAUGAAGUUGGAGUUGCUAGUAAACGCAGGUCAGCCAUACUGCGUUGAAUACGUUCCCGGGGCUU